GACGAACGCUGGCGGCGUGCCUAAUACAUGCAAGUUGAGCGCUGAAGGUUGGUACUUGUACCAACUGGAUGAGCAGCGAACGGGUGAGUAACGCGUGGGGAAUCUGCCUUUGAGCGGGGGACAACAUUUGGAAACGAAUGCUAAUACCGCAUAAAAACUUUAAACACAAGUUUUAAGUUUGAAAGAUGCAAUUGCAUCACUCAAAGAUGAUCCCGCGUUGUAUUAGCUAGUUGGUGAGGUAAAGGCUCACUAAGGCGAUGAUACAUAGCCGACCUGAGAGGGUGAUCGGCCACAUUGGGACUGAGACACGGCCCAAACUCCUACGGGAGGCAGCAGUAGGGAAUCUUCGGCAAUGGACGAAAGUCUGACCGAGCAACGCCGCGUGAGUGAAGAAGGUUUUCGGAUCGUAAAACUCUGUUGGUAGAGAAGAACGUUAGUGAGAGUGGAAAGCUCAUCAAGUGACGGUAACUACCCAGAAAGGGACGGCUAACUACGUG
This 497-nucleotide ribosomal RNA is filed under the name uncultured bacterium. Its description in RNAcentral is "partial 16S ribosomal RNA". It matches the Rfam family "Bacterial small subunit ribosomal RNA", at positions 28 to 507 of the family's 1533-position model. The record is from RNAcentral.